GACGGAGGAUGCAAGCGUUAUCCGGAAUGAUUGGGCGUAAAGCGUCCGCAGGUGGCAGUUCAAGUCUGCUGUCAAAGACCGGGGCUUAACUUCGGAAAGGCAGUGGAAACUGAACAGCUAGAGUAUGGUAGGGGCAGAGGGAAUUCCUGGUGUAGCGGUGAAAUGCGUAGAUAUCUGGAGGAACACCGGUGGCGAAGGCGGCAUCCUGGACCAAUACUGACGCUGAGGAGCGAAAGCCAGGGGAGCAAACGGG
RNAcentral lists this ribosomal RNA (253 nucleotides) under uncultured bacterium. RNAcentral describes it as "partial 16S ribosomal RNA". It matches the Rfam family "Bacterial small subunit ribosomal RNA", at positions 524 to 776 of the family's 1533-position model. The record is from RNAcentral.